ACUCCUCACCCCACCCCCCCUCCCCCCCCGGCUCAGUCGUGUGUCCUGUUAGCUAAUGACAGCGGUCUCGUGUGUGCGCCGAUGAGCAAGUCCUUGGUCUCCAGCAAAUAGUAUCGAUCUUCUCGCAGACUUGGGGGGCGGGGGGUGGCUAUUGUUGUCGCAGGGGUGAUCCCCCCGUCGCCUGCCUUGCCUCGCUCCCUGCGGCGCUGGCAGUGCUCUCUGCGCGGCGGCUCCCCGGUCGAUGCCUCUGCUCCGCGCCGAGGAACGGUGCGCGCACCGCGGCCGCUGUUGAUUUCGGGCAGAUAAACUUUCAAGUUUGGGAGACGUGCGGGUCACCCGGCAGCUCCUCCUACUUUCCUCCUCCUCCUCCGCCUCCCGUGCCGCGCUGCCCGGGCUGCCGCCGGGGCUGCCCCCGGCCCCGCAGCCCGAUCAACUCCCCCGCCGUCUCCGAGCCUCCCUCUCUGCACGCACUUUCCUAACAGCGGCUUUUCUCCCAUGCCCCCCACCCACCCUUUUUUUGUAAAAUUGAGUGGGGGGGAGGCUUCCCUCCCCGCCGCCCCUUUCCACCCCCGCUCUCCACUCUACCGCAUUGCAAGUUGCCGGGGAGCCGGGCCGAACCUCCCCCGCCCCGUCCCGCCGCCUCGCGUCCCCUCCCGCCCCGUCCGUCCCACGGGGAGGCGGGCGGCCCAGUCGCCGCGCAGCAGCUCCAACUCCCCGGCAGCUGCCACGAGUUGCCCCUUCCCGCCGCCGUCCCUGUCCGCCUGCCCCUCUGCUGAGGCGGGCGGGGAGCGCGGCCAGCCGGUCUCCCAUGGCAGGGACCCGCCGCUAGGAUGUACCCCACAGUCGGUGAUCGCCACCGCGCAGGGUUACGCAGUGCGCGCACUGCCCGGGAGCGCGGCUCUGUGCCUGUGUGUGGUUUGGGGGCGGGAGGCUGCUCCGGCGGACCCUGCCACCCUCUCCGCUGUUUUGUUUUGGGGUUGUUUUGCAUGCUUUUUUUAACUGUUAGUUGCAGACCGGGCCCUGCGCGUUGCUCGGCCCGUUCCCCGCCCCGUGCUGCGCUUGGCAGAGCGGCCCCAGCUCCGGCCGUCGCCGGGGCGCGGAGGCGCAGCUCACCUUGCCGGGCGGCAACAGGCAAGCUCCGUGUAUGGGGCCGGGGAUCAGGGAUUUUCUCCUAAUACCCCCACCCCGGUCCGUGUAAUCCAGCCCUAGUCCUUAAAACACACUAACCCUGUCUUCUUUGGGAAACUCCUCUGUGUAAACUUUCCCUGCUGAUAGCUCGCUUUAUCUCGUGCGUUGUGAUACCGUGUCUCUGGGGUUUCGGUUUAUUCCUCGCUUUUAUGUUGGUAGGCAAAUCAAAUAAAGUUAGAGCCGACAGUUUAAGCCACUCCGGAUAGUUUGCUAACACGCAAACCAUCAGCGAUUUCUGUGCUGGAGGUAUUCGUUAGAAAAGCGCACGGCCCUGAAGGGUAACAAUACUGAAACGCCAAGUCAAUGCCUUUUAGAUAUUAGACGAGGAUACUUCUCAGUCCUUCGUUUAGCGAGAUGUUUACACGAGACCCUUCGCAAUGAUUGCCCACUUCAUGAUUAAAAAACUUGUUUGGUGCUUACAAAUUCUAAUACAUCUUCUCUCCGUCUGUCCAUCCUUGCUGAAACUUUGGUCGCACAAAGAGUGUCUCAUUUAAAAUACCUGGAGACGAUCGUGAUGGCUGAAAUCUGACGUGAUUUUCUAAUACGAUGUGUGAGGGAACGACUUCAUUAAUCAAGGUUUUUUUUUUUUUUCUUUUUUCUUUUUUUUCCCCCGUCAGAAGUAGGAAUUUAUUGCACCCGGCGUACACGAAUAACACGUUAUUUGUGUGUAUAUGCUGCAUUAUAUUGUAGGGAGAAUGCAGGUGAAAGGGAGCGUCUGCGGGCGUUCAGGUAACACUCAGCACCGCUGCCGCGAGUGGGGAGCUGGGGCUAGGGCUUCUCCUUCCACGGCAGAAAGGUACAUUCUCUGAUUUGCUUUGGGUGCAGGGCCUCAGCUACCCCCUGUGACUGAAACAUUUGCCUGGAAUAAGAGGGGACACACUUUAACCUCACCCAGGCAUUUUUUUUUUUUCCAAUUGUAGUAGUACCAGUCAUCUUUUAAAAGGAUUUGUUGCUGUUACUCAGGCAACAUUUUUUUUCCCCCUAAACUUUGACGUUUUCUGUUUGCUCAGUGCCUGGUAGUUCCCCAGGAGCAGGCGAUUUCUUGAAGAACGUUUUAAAAGUGUCUUUCUUAUAGCGCGAUGUGGGGGGAGGGCGGAGAAAGGCAGGUCAUUGACAGCAUUAUAAAAACAAAACUUUGUCCAUGAUAUAAAAUAAAAUGAUUGAAAAUUAAUAUGAUUUUGCGGAACGUGAGAGAAUCUUUAAGUGGAAAAUUAAAUAAUCCCGUCUUUAAUGUUUAAUGAACAAUGGAGAACACAACAGGCAAGAAAGGCAUAAUUACCAGAUUUGUAUCUCUUGACAUUAACAUAUUCUAGGGUUACAAGAUUAUGGUUUUCUUUCCUCUUACUCGGCUCUCCUUCACACUUUUUCUCUUGGAGAAAAGCUCGCCGCUAUGCGCGGGGGUCGCUGAGCACCCACGCCGGGGACGUGCCGCCGAGCUCCGGCUGCGGCACCGCCGGCACGUACCGCCGGGUCCGGUGCAAAUCGCCGGGGGAAACUUUCUACCCGACCUGUGUGGAAAACCUUGACAGUGCAAAGAUCUCGGGAGGCGAGUGGAAAGUUAUGAAGUGAAACGUGUCUCCCCGGCCCCUGACUCCCCCCGCUCCCGGUUCCCCAUUACACCGCAAAGUUUUCCACGGACCUUUUAAUUAAUCUUCCUGACUUGAGGGGGGAAGAAAUAAUGAUGAUGCAUUCGCUGAAGUUGGGCUGCGAAAAACGCGGCCAUGCGGGGCAGGGGGAUAAGGGGGGGAGAUCGGUUAGCCGCGUAACUGUCUGCGCGCCCACGUACUUAGGAGCGCGCAGAGGAGCGGGAGCCGCGGCACCGCGCGUAUGCGCGACAGCUGUGGGGCCGGCAAUCACGCGUUUCCCGUCGCAAACCGCGUCCGCUCGCGUGCCCCUCGCCGUGAAUAAAAUGCUGUACUAGCGAUGGCGAGUAAAAGAAGUUUACCUCUCCGUAAUUAAUUCUAAUUUGUUAAUUGUCUUCCAAUUUUGCGAUGUUGCUUUCAUCGUCAGAAGCGACACGUUACUAUUCUGCCUGCUUAAUAAUAUUAUUUACCAAAUAGUACUUUAUUUUUUACAUUGAUAGGACACCUAGUUACGCGUUUGCUUUAAUUUUUAAUCCUUAUUCAGUGUCAAUAAAAACGUUCAGAAAGCUUUUCUACAAGAUCGGCUCUACAAAAACCAUAUAUGUAGUUCUGUCUACACUUAGGUACAACGUGGUUGUUCUUAAGUCCAUCAAAGCUACCAACAGGCGGAUAAGAUAGAUCUGACGUUUGGUGUAAUCCAUCUACUGUCUUUUAUAGUUAUUAUUUUGCUCAGCAACUUUAUUUGAAGGGGCGUGUAAUAAUUUGGGCUUUAUUUUCUAUCAUUUUAUACUCUUCCUGGCAAGCUGAAGUAGCGUCUUCCGACCCCCUUUCUGCACGACGACUUUUGCCUGAGGACCCUGGGGUUAAAACCAGCACAAUUUUCUCUGUUUAAACUGCAACAACUAACCGCUAAUUCGUUCUCACAUGAGCAAAGAUAUUACCAUACUAAUAUUAUUAUUGGUAAGAAGAGGUAAUUGAUAACACCACCUGCCACUCUGCAGCAAUCACGAUGAUAAAUGUUUCCAUCAGAGGGAAAUCUGUGCUUGGUCUACCACAGCCUAACCCAAACAGCAUGUCAAAUGUCAAUUAUAAAGAUAUUUUUUUUUUUUUGUAAAGCAACUAGCCCCACCACAAGAUUUACAGAACCAGUCUACAGCAAAACCGUGCCUAAAUGUUUUGCUUUGAGCAUGUAAGUUACUUUUCCUUUUAUUUAAUAUCAUGCCACCCUUGGAGCUAAAUAAACAUGAUUCAUACACACAAAAGCUUAUGCUCACACUUAGCAAACUCCAAUUACCAUCCACUUCCAUUCUUUAAUUUAACAGAUGAUACAUUAAUUUCACCAACAAUUUUCAAUACUCUGUGGAAUAUUUGUAAUACACAUAGUUAUGGGGACAUUAUCAAGGCAACAAACAUUUAAACUCACACAUACAUGUCAUGCACACAUAUAGAUGUGUAGAUGCUAUAUAAUUAAACCACUGUAAUUGUAUUACAACGUGUGUUAGCACAUACUCCACAAAGUAUACAAGAGUGCAUAUGAAAGCAGUGCUUUUAGCCCCUUUGCAAAAAUCUGUAUCCUUCUGAAAAUGACAAGUGACAUUAAUAUUAAAAUGUAUAUAUAUGCAUACCACACACAAACAAUGUAAGAUUGUUCACUAACUCUAGCUAUAUAAAUAGUGAUGCCAAUUAUAAAAACUUUCAUCCCCUUGGCUACAGAUAUGCUCAGACGAUUAUUAUUAGUUUGUAUUAAUAGAUGCAGGCCUCAAAAGACGAAAUCAGCUAUUGAUAAUUGCAAGAAGUAUACAGCAGCUACUGUAUCGAUCGGCUUGUCCCUUAUUCCCCUGGUAAAGGAGAGAUAAGAAGACACACUCUUUAGUGCAAUAUAAUUUCUUUUGACCUAUCUGCUUGCUACAGACUUAUGAUGAAUAGCCGGAGUGGUUAAAGUCCUUUAUCACGAAAGUUACCCCUUGAUAUAAUAUUGAUUCUUUAUAACUAGCUCCAAACACAAAAAUCAAACUGUCCACUUGACCAUCAUCAUCAUCAAUAUCAUCACAAAGGCUCCGGAAUAAGGAUCAGCACAGGACUGAAAACGCUUUCUAUAAUCUGCCCACCUAAUCUUUAUUUGCUGAUGAUGAAAAGAAAAGGGUUGUGAGUGCGUGUAUGUGUGUGUGCACGCCGCGGGGGCGGGGGCGAGCGGAACAGGGAAUGUCAUCUGAACAAAUAAUAAAAAAAAAAAGGUUAAGAAAAAAGACCGUUCCGCCUCCUUCAAAAGAAACCGAAUGAUGAUCACCGACAUUAACGAUCACGCUUCGAAGCCCCGUUCUCCUGAAGGAGGGGAAUCAAAUGCGGAAAAGGCCCGACGUGAUAUUAUACUCGGGUGUCAUCCCCUCCCCCCCCCCCCCCGCCCCCCGCCCCGAGUGAAGCGGUCUGCGGUGAAUGUAGAGAGUUACAAAAGAAGCAAUCCCGGCUGGAGUGAUGUCAGGCAGCAUUCUCCUUGGUAAGAGUCAGGACUAACAAGUCGUCUUCUCACUUUCCCUCCUUUCGCCGGUCCACGGAGCGAUCCAUCAUUUAAUUCCAGAUCACCCGGUGAUCCAUUAGAAAGAAAGAAAAAAAAAAAAAAAGAACAAGGAAAAAAAAAGACUAGGAAACGAGCCGCUGAUGUUUGGGUUGAUGUCUAAUACGCAAUAUCUAUAGAGUGAUGUAGAAAAGGACGAGCGUAAUCCACAUGUAUAUUGCCUUAAAUUAACGGUAUUUCCUUUGCCUUCCCUCUCCAUAGUACCAGCAUGCUUUUUGCUCGGGGUUGCAUUAGCAAAAUCACCAGUAAUUACAAGCGUGUGUACACUGGGAGAAUUAAAAUUGGGAAGGUGGGAGGCAGGACGUGAUUCCCCUUUGGAGCAAUCAGGAAUGGGAAAGGUUUCGUUCCAUGCAAACGGUACGUUGAUCACAUUUAAUGGGCUAGUUAGACUCACAUUCAAGCCGAGGUGCCAUUUCAGCGCAAGUUUGCGCUUUUCAGGCGAGCAGGGGAAGCGGGGGGAGGGAAGGAAAAGGAUGAAAGCGGCCACGGCAGUUGAAGUUCUAUUCAGUCCUUCCGGCGCCCCGAAGGAGAAAGGCUCCAAGGAGAAUACCCUUGCUACCACGGGCACCUUUUGGGGAAAACGGGAAGGAGGUGCAGCGCCGGGCAGACCAGAGACAGCUCCGGCCGCGCCAGGGGAUGAGCCGCGCAGCGGGGCGCCGGCCCUGCCCCGCCCGGGGGAAACCGGGCCGGACCGUGCCGCAGGGAGCCGAACUGAACCGGGCCGCAGGGACGCUCCCCGGGACGCGCCGAAGCGCCGCUGCGACGGCUGCUGCCGCUCUCCCGUCGCACCACGCGUGCGGCGGAGGCAGCCCCUGCUGAGCCACACGGUUCUUCGGAGUAGCCGGUGCCACACGGGGGCCACCGGCGCUGUAGCAGCCCCGCCGUCGCCCGGGACCCCGCUCUGCUGCCGCCAACUUUGCCCGACUUGGCAGAUUUCGCCCUGCCCCCCUUCGCCCACGUCCAGCAGCCUCGGCCUGCGCAGCCUUGGGGCCGCCUCUUCCACUGGGUGGAAGCGGAGCUGGAAGAAGUGGGAGUCGCGGGCGGCCGCAAUGCUUCCACCCGUGGCGCAAGAAGGAUCACGGAGGUGGCAGCGGUGAAACCUAGGAGCUUCGACACUGGGAGCCUCGAUCAGGCGCCUGCCCUUCCCCAGGCCCCCUCCUCCCGCGUACUGGGGCCAGAGCCCCCACCCGUGGGAGCAAUAACGGCAACAAUUACCAUCAUUGCACUUUCAUCCCUUCCCACACGGGAGGCUUCGUUCUCUCUAUGAGCGGCUCAUAAUUACGGAUUUUAAAAGCUUUUGUCCCUCCCACUACGUCCUCAGGACCCUCUCUCUCCGCUCCUUCUCCCCACUGAAAUAACGUACUGGGUCAUCAGAAAAAAAAAAAAAAAAGAAAAAAAAGAAAAAAAAAAGAGGAGGGCAAGGAUGUACUGAAUAUCGAGAUCCAUUGAGGCUAGGGAGAGGUGUGUGUCUGUGUGACCUGAUGAGGAGCAGAAGAAUUGUUCACUGAUAUUGUUAGAGGAUGAAACGAGUCAAUCAAAAAAAUAGAAAAAGAGGACAGCCUUUUGCUCGGGUUAUGCCACAUGACUUGAUAUUAAUUAUGAAACAGACAUCACAAGUGCAUACAGGAUAACAGAGGGUGUUCUUAAGAUUUCAGUGCCUUUGGGGAUAACAAGAGGCAAGGUUUCCCAGCAGAUAGUCUAACACGUGGUGGUCUUUUCCUAAAAACAGAUGGUGACAGAAGGAAAAAAAAUGAAGAAGUGGAAAUGGGCAAGUGUAUCACGCUGGCUGGUGGGAGAGGGGCAGAAGGGUGCUAUCACCUUUAAAGUACUGGUUGUGUAAACAAGGAGAGAUUGUGCUAGCAGACUCCUGAAGCAUCCAGGGCCUGGCCUGCCCACAAGGCUAUGGUCAGCAGCAGAGCUAAUACUCCAGCACUGAGCAGAAAUACAACAUGAUUGUUCAGCAUUGGAUACUUCAUGAAGGAGAAGGCAGAGGAGAGCACUGCACAAAGUUUGGAUUUUUUUGUACGACCUCCUGGACCUACUGAUUUUCAGUUUUUCCGCGAGCUCCCAGACUCUAAGGCUCUUGCAAAGGAGGGUUGUGCUGAGGCUCAGAUUGUUCUGCUAGACACUGCAAGGGAGGACCUCCAUCAGAUAAACGGGAUGCAAGUGAUUCCUGAGGAACAAUGUGCUCCACCAUCAUGUUAUUUUCUGAAUGGACAACACCAUCAAGGUUUCUUUUAUUUUUCUUUUUAUUUUUUUUUUUCCCUCUAAGCAUUGUUACAAUGUUGUAACCUACCAAACAGUGUUGUAACCUACCAAGAAUUAAAGCAUUUUUCUCUCCAUCCAUGAACCUGUGUUUUAUG
Molecule: long non-coding RNA, 7706 nt
Organism: Columba livia (rock pigeon)
Lineage: Eukaryota; Metazoa; Chordata; Aves; Columbiformes; Columbidae
Exons: 4
Source: RefSeq, a predicted model, not a curated record